CCGGAGGAAGCUUUACUGGUCAGCCAGGUAGAGAAAGAUGGCAGAAGUGAUGGGGAGCUCUGAAGGCUGGUGAGAAAAUGUGUGCUGUGAUCUUGUUCUAGAACGAUCCUGAAGGCAGCAGAACAGAGCAGGACUGAAGGCCACCAAGGGGAUUUCAACUCUUCAGAAAAAAAUAAAUGACUCACCUUCUCACAAAGAGUAAGAAUCACAGAGGUCAGAUUGUCUCCUCCUGCCCAUCAGGGACAGAGUCCCCCAUCUUUGGCUUGCUCCAUCUGGCAGGGCAAGGAGGAGUCCAUUUUACGGUAGAGAAACCAAGACCCAGAGGGAGAACAAAUGGAUUGAAGGCACGUGACAAGUUAGUGACCAAGCUGAACCUUGAGA
RNAcentral lists this long non-coding RNA (381 nucleotides) under Mus spicilegus (steppe mouse). Its description in RNAcentral is "lncRNA (ENSMSIG00000016457.1)". Lineage: Eukaryota; Metazoa; Chordata; Mammalia; Rodentia; Muridae. The record is from RNAcentral.